UACGGAGGGUGCAAGCGUUGCUCGGAAUGACUGGGCGUAAAGGGCGCGUAGGCGGAUGGCUUUGUCGGGCGUGAAAUUCCAGGGCUUAACCUUGGGGCUGCGUUCGAGACGGGUUGUCUUGAGUGGGGAAGAGGGUCGUGGAAUUCCCAGUGUAGAGGUGAAAUUCGUAGAUAUUGGGAAGAACACCGGUGGCGAAGGCGGCGACCUGGUCCUUUACUGACGCUGAGGCGCGAAAGCGUGGGGAGCAAACAGG
Molecule: ribosomal RNA, 253 nt
Filed under: uncultured bacterium
Lineage: Bacteria
Description: partial 16S ribosomal RNA
Rfam family: Bacterial small subunit ribosomal RNA
Source: RNAcentral